UCGUUCAAAGUGGGAGAUUGUUCCGGAACCAAAUAAAAGGGUGGGAAAUUGUCGUCCCUUGUCUUAUCCCAUAUGCUGUAUCCUGCUGGUCAUCCCAUGAAUGCGGUCAUUUCUUUACAAGAAAUCAUGUGUACGUUUCACUUUGAUGGGUGCAAAUUUUAGAAGUAGGGUUAUGUCAUGCGCUGAGAAAAGUUGAGAAAUCAUGGCUCCCUUCCACA
Molecule: long non-coding RNA, 218 nt
Filed under: Elaeis guineensis (African oil palm)
Lineage: Eukaryota; Viridiplantae; Streptophyta; Magnoliopsida; Arecales; Arecaceae
Description: long non-coding RNA (EGUI_LNC002049)
Source: RNAcentral